Molecule: ribosomal RNA, 892 nt
Filed under: uncultured bacterium
Lineage: Bacteria
Description: bacterial SSU rRNA
Rfam family: Bacterial small subunit ribosomal RNA
Source: RNAcentral
GUUUCAGCAGCCGCGGUAAUGCGUAGGGUGCAAGCGUUAAUCGGAAUUACUGGGCGUAAAGCGUGCGCAGGCGGUUAUGCAAGACAGAGGUGAAAUCCCCGGGCUCAACCUGGGAACUGCCUUUGUGACUGCAUGGCUAGAGUACGGUAGAGGGGGAUGGAAUUCCGCGUGUAGCAGUGAAAUGCGUAGAUAUGCGGAGGAACACCGAUGGCGAAGGCAAUCCCCUGGACCUGUACUGACGCUCAUGCACGAAAGCGUGGGAAGCAAACAGGAUUAGAUACCCUGGUAGUCCACGCCCUAAACGAUGUCAACUGGUUGUUGGGAGGGUUUCUUCUCAGUAACGUAGCUAACGCGUGAAGUUGACCGCCUGGGGAGUACGGCCGCAAGGUUGAAACUCAAAGGAAUUGACGGGGACCCGCACAAGCGGUGGAUGAUGUGGUUUAAUUCGAUGCAACGCGAAAAACCUUACCUACCCUUGACAUGCCAGGAAUCCUGAAGAGAUUUGGGAGUGCUCGAAAGAGAGCCUGGACACAGGUGCUGCAUGGCCGUCGUCAGCUCGUGUCGUGAGAUGUUGGGUUAAGUCCCGCAACGAGCGCAACCCUUGUCAUUAGUUGCUACGAAAGGGCACUCUAAUGAGACUGCCGGUGACAAACCGGAGGAAGGUGGGGAUGACGUCAGGUCAUCAUGGCCCUUAUGGGUAGGGCUACACACGUCAUACAAUGGCCGGGACAGAGGGCUGCCAACCCGCGAGGGGGAGCUAAUCCCAGAAACCCGGUCGUAGUCCGGAUCGUAGUCUGCAACUCGACUGCGUGAAUUCGGAAUCGCUAGUAAUCGCGGAUCAGCUUGCCGCGGUGAAUACGUUCCCGGGUCUUGUACACACCGCCCGUCAAAC